RNAcentral lists this ribosomal RNA (253 nucleotides) under uncultured bacterium. RNAcentral describes it as "partial 16S ribosomal RNA". It matches the Rfam family "Bacterial small subunit ribosomal RNA", at positions 524 to 776 of the family's 1533-position model. The record is from RNAcentral.
CACGUAGGGCGCAAGCGUUGUCCGGAAUUACUGGGCGUAAAGCGCGCGCAGGCGGCAGUGCAAGUAAGGUGUGAAAUCUCCCUGCUCAACGGGGAGGGUGCAUUUUAGACUGCACAGCUAGAGGUCGGUAGAGGGGGGUGGAAUUGCUGGUGUAGCGGUGAAAUGCGUAGAGAUCAGCAGGAACACCCGUGGCGAAGGCGGCCCCCUGGGCCGUACCUGACGCUGAGGCGCGAAGGCUAGGGGAGCGAACGGG